AGAUUGAACGCUGGCGGCAUGCCUAACACAUGCAAGUCGAACGGGAGUAGCAAUACUCUAGUGGCGGACGGGUGAGGAAUACGUAGGAAUUUGCCCUUAAGUGGGGGAUAACCCGGGGAAACCCGGAUUAAUACCGCAUGACCUCGAAAGAGCAAAGUGGGGGAUCGCAAGACCUCACGCUUUUGGAGAAGCCUACGUCGGAUUAGCUAGUUGGUGAGGUAAUGGCUCACCAAGGCGAACGAUCCGUAACUGGUCUGAGAGGAUGAUCAGUCACACCGGAACUGAGACACGGUCCGGACUCCGUAACGGAGGCAG
This 315-nucleotide ribosomal RNA is filed under the name uncultured soil bacterium. RNAcentral describes it as "bacterial SSU rRNA". It matches the Rfam family "Bacterial small subunit ribosomal RNA", at positions 26 to 351 of the family's 1533-position model. The record is from RNAcentral.